CUAAGGCUGAUGGCGACCGGCGCACGGGUGAGUAACACGUAUCCAACCUGCCGUCUACUCUUGGCCAGCCUUCUGAAAGGAAGAUUAAUCCAGGAUGGCAUCAUGAGUUCACAUGUCCGCAUGAUUAAAGGUAUUUUCCGGUAGACGAUGGGGAUGCGUUCCAUUAGAUAGUAGGCGGGGUAACGGCCCACCUAGUCAACGAUGGAUAGGGGUUCUGAGAGGAAGGUCCCCCACAUUGGAACUGAGACACGGUCCAAACUCCUACGGGAGGCAGCAGUGAGGAAUAUUGGUCAAUGGGCGAUGGCCUGAACCAGCCAAGUAGCGUGAAGGAUGACUGCCCUAUGGGUUGUAAACUUCUUUUAUAAAGGAAUAAAGUCGGGUAUGCAUACCCGUUUGCAUGUACUUUAUGAAUAAGGAUCGGCUAACUCCGUGCCAGCAGCCGCGGUAAUACGGAGGAUCCGAGCGUUAUCCAGAUUUAUUGGGUUUAAAGGGAGCGUAGAUGGAUGUUUAAGUCAGUUGUGAAAGUUUGCGGCUCAACCGUAAAAUUGCAGUUGAUACUGGAUGUCUUGAGUGCAGUUGAGGCAGGCGGAAUUCGUGGUGUAGCGGUGAAAUGCUUAGAUAUCACGAAGAACUCCGAUUGCGAAGGCAGCCUGCUGAGCUGCAACUGACAUUGAGGCUCGAAAGUGUGGGUAUC
RNAcentral lists this ribosomal RNA (694 nucleotides) under uncultured Bacteroidales bacterium. Its description in RNAcentral is "bacterial SSU rRNA". It matches the Rfam family "Bacterial small subunit ribosomal RNA", at positions 79 to 769 of the family's 1533-position model. The record is from RNAcentral. Lineage: Bacteria; Pseudomonadati; Bacteroidota; Bacteroidia; Bacteroidales.